Molecule: long non-coding RNA, 424 nt
Organism: Quercus robur (English oak)
Lineage: Eukaryota; Viridiplantae; Streptophyta; Magnoliopsida; Fagales; Fagaceae
Exons: 3
Source: RefSeq, a predicted model, not a curated record
CCCUUUUUUUUAUUUUAGUCUAAUUUUGGUUUAACACAAACGCACGACGGCGCCAGGCAGAGAAAGGGGAAGAAGAGAUUGACGCUAGCCUAUGCGACGCCGCCUCCGUCUGACCUGUCACCAGUGGAGACCCAAGCCGUAGCCACCACCGGCGAUAGCCAAGCCUUAGUCACCACCGGCGAUAGCCCAAGCCUUAGUCACCGCCGGCGAAAGCCAGUGAGUCGUGUCUCUUCUUCCCUUGCACAACCAUUGACCCGCCUCCCUCCUCCCAUCUCAGGAGUUGAAUGAACCUGUGCUUUCAUUCCGUAAGUCUUCUGUCUUCAGCUGAAAGUUUUCGAAGGCCUCAAACACUGCUUCCACCUAAUGUUCACCGACUCCUGUAGGAGGCUUAGGAUCAUGAAGGGCUCAGAGGCAAUUGGGCUAG